CUGCUGCGCUCCCCAGACGAGGAAACCUGGUCUCCCGGAGCCAGCUCUGGGACAAACCAGCUUCUAUGUCAUGAGCACACUCAGGCAGCUCAUUGGAGAGAUCUGCAUGGUAAAGCAAUGAGGCCUCCUGCCAGCAGCCAUGUGAGUGGCAUCUUGGAGCCAGACCCUCCAGCCCCAGUCAAGCCUUCGGAUGCCUGCAGCCCUGGCUGACAUUUUAACCACAACUUCAUGAGAGAUUCUGAGCCAGAAUCACCCAGCUAAGCUGCUCCCGGGUUGCCAGGUGCAACAGGAACCUGGAGCCUCAAGAGCCGAGGUGCUCAGGAGGGGCAGCAUGACUCCAGGGCUCGGAAGGAGCCCCUCAGGUAAGGUCCCCUCAAAGCCUGAGAGUUCCCUUUGUCCACAACUCAUCUAUUUUGCCCAGAUAUGUUUUUGGACACGGCAGUUCCCAGAUAAGAGCAGGCUCGGCCCCCUGGCCUCAGAGCUCAGCCUUCAGGGUAGGGCAGGAGAAAGAAUGUAAUCAGAGUUAUGGCUUAAUGAAGUGAACCGUAAUAACCAUAAACAGACAGUCUGGGAUUUGGUUUGUUAUUUUGUACAAGGCAGUACCUUUCAAUAGCAACUGGUGUUAGGGCCAAGCUUAAACAUUUUCAUCUCACCAACAAAAAAACAGUGAUCCCAUUGUUACACUACACUCUCCCACCUUAAAAUGGGAUUGGUUUUGUGGAUUGGGAAAGUUACCAAAAAUAAGUUUCUUCAAUCACAAAGGUUAGCAGAAAGGAAGUUGCUGGAUUGUUGCUAGAUUGCUAGGAAGUUGCUAGAUGAGAGGGGCCUAUAGGUAAGCAGUAUCUGUUAUAGACAAUGUGUGCCAGGCCAUCUACCUCAAACUUUUUUCCUAUUUAAUCCAUGUAAUAGGUACCAAAUCCUACACAACUUAAGGCUAAAAAAUAAGUUUGCUUAUGAGUCCCUAUAUACAAGGUAAAAUAGAGAUUGUUCUAUGGACUAGCUUAUGGCUGCAAACUACAUUUUAAGAAAAGCAUAACCAGGCCGGGCGCAGUGGUUCAUGCCUGUAAUCCCAGCACUUUGGGAGGCCAAGGCAGGCGGAUCACCUGGGGUCAGGAGUUUGAGACCAGUCUGACCAACAUGGAGAAACCCUGUCUCUACUAAAAAUACAAAAAUUAGCCGGGUGUGGUGGCACUUGCUGGUAGUCCCAGCUACCCGGGAGGCUGAGACAGGAGAAUCACUUGAAUCCAGGAGGCAGAGGUUGCAGCAAGCCAAGAUUGUGUCACUGCACUCCAGCCUGGGCAACAGAGCAAGACUCUGCCUCAAAAAAAAAAAAAAAAGAAAGAAAGAAAGAAAAAAGAAAAGCAUAACCAAGAGUGUUUUCCUUCUUGAGACCAACACCCCAAAUACAACAUGCCCAGGUGGUUGUGCCACACAGCCUGACAGUGCAGCUUCCUGAGCACCAGUGUAAGAUGGAGGGAGACAGGUG
Molecule: long non-coding RNA, 1486 nt
Filed under: Homo sapiens (human)
Lineage: Eukaryota; Metazoa; Chordata; Mammalia; Primates; Hominidae
Description: non-protein coding lnc-ALDH1A3-1:7
Source: RNAcentral